UCUCGAAACUGCCCAUACUCCAGAAACUUAAUGAAAGUAAAGUACAGAACCAAGUAAGAAAGAAAGGAUUUUGGUGGAAUGUUCAUUUUUCCCCUCAACUCUAAAAAAUAUCCAUGCUCAUUUCUUGCUUAUCCUAUUAGGUGGAAUUCUAAAAAUGCCCCCUAUCCCCUCAAGAUUCCAUGCCAUAAUCCCUGGGUCCUGUGUGAUAUCACUGCCAUGAUUGUGAUUAUGUUUAUGUUACAUAGCAGCAGACAUUAAGACAGGAAGCUCAUCCGGUAGGCUUGACCUAACUGGAAGCUUUCUCUAACUGGUGGCAGAAGAGGAAGUGAGGGAGAUUCAAAGCACAAGGAUUUGAGGCAUUCUUGCUGUUUGAAGAUGAAGGGAGCCAUGUGCCAAGGAAAGAGGGUAGCCUCUAGAAACUGAGAGUAGGCACCAGCUGACAGUCAGUAAGGAAACAGGGAGCUCAGUUGUACAACAGCAAAGACAUGAAUUCUGCCAAAAAGCUGAAUGAGCUUGGAAAUGGAUUUUUCAUCAGAACCUUCAGUAAACCAAAAAUGCUGGAGAAGGAAGGAAGAGAGGAAAGGGGAAAGAAGUACAGGAAACUGAUCUUCUUGGGUAAGAAAAUUCUAACUUACGAUUUUAAUACUUACUGGUUUAUUAUUAUGCUUAUAAAGAGUUUAUUAAAAAAUUUCCCAAACAGUAAAAUGUACGCAAUAUAUGUCAAAAAAAAAUUUUUUUCUUUUCUAGGAAGCCAGGCCAAUUGGCUUUCAGAGCUAAAUCUGCCUUUAAUAAACUACUAGUUUGGCCAAAUCAAUUCUGUCCAUGCCUUAGUUUCCUCAUUUGUAAAAGGAGAAUGUGUAUGACCAGACGAUUUCUAGAAUUUAAAGUAUAAAAUUCUACUCUAUGAAUUGCAAGUACAGUGCUACGGAAAGAACACCUUGUAAUUUAAAUUUUUACAAAGGAAAUUAAUCUUUUUAUUUUCCAGGGAAAUAUAUGCAAAGAAAUUCUUAAAUUCUGUGUAAAUCAGAGAAUGCUUCUUUCAUAAAUCAAUGAGUACUCAAUAAGGGAAAAGUCAUAGAAUUUAGUCUCAAUGGAUAUAAAAGUUUAAUCAUCUUUUUUUGGGCAUGAGAGGAAAAGCAUAUAUAGAACAAAUCAAAGAUUACAAGUAGAUAAUAAAUUUGCAGAACUGCUAUAAAGAAAUUAGAGGAACACUGAGUUCUCUAAAGAGACUAUCUGCAAUUUGAGCUGAGAAUGCAAGGUCAAUGCAAUAUAGAAAGGGGUGGAAAUGAAAGGAGUGGGAAAGAAGUAGUGAUCGUAGUAGUAGUGGAGGGCAGCUUGUCUACAUGCAUAUGAGACAGGUCUUAACUGGCUGGACCAAAAGUGGGCUCUCAAUGCCAAAGUAAGCAGGUCGUGCUUAAUACCAAAAGGACUCGUGGGCCCAUGUAGGUUUGGAAAUUUGGAGAACUAGAUUCUUGCUCUCGCUUUGCCAACGUCUUGUUGUGUAUCAAGGGCAAGUAAUUCCCCUAAGUGAAUCCCUUUCAACUAUAAAAACUCUGUGACAUAUUAGUCUCUUAUUACAUGCAUAAAGAAAUGACAUACACAGAAAAUGAUAGCUUAAAUUAGGCAGGUAGUAAAAAGAAUUUAAAUGGGAUAAAGAGUAGCAACACUGAGCAGUGGGAAAAUUACAUAGAAAAUGAGACAGACAAAAAACCAGGAAAGAUUGCCUGGAUUGGAGAGAGAGG
Non-coding RNA from Equus caballus (horse), 1742 nucleotides. NCBI's taxonomy places the organism in Eukaryota, Metazoa, Chordata, Mammalia, Perissodactyla, Equidae. The record is from RefSeq and is a predicted model, not a curated record.